GCGUUAUACCGUUGUUGAGGGAAAUCUUUGCAUGGGUGCUUGUUUUAUUUACUUUGUUAUCAUACGUAGUAUUAACCGGUGUUGUUGUAUAUACUCCUCCCUUGGAUGUAGGGCAUAUAUGCUGCUGCGUCUGGUUUUGUCCUUGUUUAAGCACUCCCAUUUUUUCUUCUUGGUUCAAUAUUUUAUUUUGGUAGGCCGUUUUUCCAUACUUCCAGCAUGUAGCACCAAGCCAAUGGUAGUUCCAACAGUAGUCUGUCAUUUAGCAGCUGUUCCUUCUCUUGUCUUUUCAAAAUUUCUGGGGUUUCUGUCAUUAAGGCUUGG
Molecule: long non-coding RNA, 321 nt
Filed under: Androctonus crassicauda
Lineage: Eukaryota; Metazoa; Arthropoda; Arachnida; Scorpiones; Buthidae
Source: RNAcentral